GUCGACGCUUAUGGGAUACCAUGAAAGGCGUUGGUUGCUUAAGACAGCAGGACGGUGGCCAUGGAAGUCGGAAUCCGCUAAGGAGUGUGUAACAACUCACCUGCCGAAGCAACUAGCCCUGAAAAUGGAUGGCGCUGAAGCGUCGUGCUUAUACUCUGCCGCCAGGGCAAGAGAGGUUCGCCCUAGUGCGGCCAUGAAGCCCUGGUGAGUAGGAGGGUCGCGAUGGUGUGCGCAGAAGGGUCUGGGCGUGAGCCUGCCUGGAGCCGCCAUCGGUGCAGAUCUUGGUGGUAGUAGCAAAUACUCCAGAGAGGUCCUGGAGGGCUGAUGUGGUAGAAGGGUUUCGUGUGAACAGCCGUUGCACACGAGUCAGUCGAUCCUAAGCCCUAGGAGGAAUCCUAUGUUGAUGACGGUGUAUUAUUCUAAAGUAUUUAACUAAAGUGCACACCCGUCGGGCGAAAGGGAAUCCGGUUCCUAUUCCGGAACCCGGCAGCGGAACCGCAUACAAUUCGGGCCCUCGAAAGAGUGUUCGUCGGGGUAACCCA
RNAcentral lists this ribosomal RNA (542 nucleotides) under Salmonella enterica subsp. enterica serovar Give. RNAcentral describes it as "partial 23S ribosomal RNA". It matches the Rfam family "Eukaryotic large subunit ribosomal RNA", at positions 1193 to 1651 of the family's 3401-position model. The record is from RNAcentral. Lineage: Bacteria; Pseudomonadati; Pseudomonadota; Gammaproteobacteria; Enterobacterales; Enterobacteriaceae.